UUUAAUUUUUUUAAGUUAGCAGCGCUAACUGUAAAUUAUCAAAAACAAGUUAAAAAGUAUCUUUCCAUUUAAUGAAGAAACAAAAUCGAUGUGGCGUCUGAGAUACUGUCUGACAUACUGUACUGACAUAUCGUCGUAUCUAAAUAUAUGACUUUUGGCUGCUGCCAACCCGUCAUGGGCAGGCUCAGAGAUUGAAAUAUUUGGCUUUCCUAACACUGCUAUUUAUUAUGGAAAAUUAU
Drosophila virilis is the source of this 239-nucleotide non-coding RNA. Lineage: Eukaryota; Metazoa; Arthropoda; Insecta; Diptera; Drosophilidae. The record is from RefSeq and is a predicted model, not a curated record.